RNAcentral lists this ribosomal RNA (479 nucleotides) under uncultured bacterium. RNAcentral's name for it is "bacterial SSU rRNA". It matches the Rfam family "Bacterial small subunit ribosomal RNA", at positions 30 to 507 of the family's 1533-position model. The record is from RNAcentral.
UUGAACGCUGGCGGCAUGCCUAACACAUGCAAGUCGAACGGAAACAGGACGCUGUGAUCUCUUCGGAGUGAACUUGUCGCUGUCGAGUGGCGGACGGGUGAGUAAUGCAUAGGAAUUUGCCUUGAAGUGGGGGAUAGCCCGGAGAAAUCCGGAUUAAUACCGCAUGUGCUCCACGGAGCAAAGCGGGCCUCUUCUUGAAAGCUCGCGCUUUAAGAUAAGCCUAUGUCGGAUUAGCUAGUUGGUAGGGUAAAAGCCUACCAAGGCGACGAUCCGUAGCUGGUUUGAGAGGAUGAUCAGCCACACUGGGACUGAGACACGGCCCAGACUCCUACGGGAGGCAGCAGUGGGGAAUAUUGGACAAUGGGCGAAAGCCUGAUCCAGCAAUGCCGCGUGUGUGAAGAAGGCCUGCGGGUUGUAAAGCACUUUCAGUAGGGAAGAUAAUGACGGUACCUACAGAAGAAGCACCGGCUAACUCUGUG